UACGUAGGGGGGCAAGCGUUGUCCGGAUUUAUUGGGCGUAAAGAGCGUGUAGGCGGCCUGGAAGGUCAGCUGUGAAAACUCGAGGCUCAACCUCGAGACGUCGGUUUGAAAACCACCCUGGCUAGAGUCCGGAAGAGGAGAGUGGAAUUCCCGGUGUAGCGGUGAAAAUGCGCAGAUAUCGGGGAGGAACACCGGUGGCGAAGGCGGGGUCUCUGGGGCAAAUUCCCUUGACGCUGAGGCGCGAAAAGCGUGGGGGAGCAAAACGGGG
This 268-nucleotide ribosomal RNA is filed under the name uncultured bacterium. RNAcentral's name for it is "partial 16S ribosomal RNA". It matches the Rfam family "Bacterial small subunit ribosomal RNA", at positions 524 to 778 of the family's 1533-position model. The record is from RNAcentral.